Long non-coding RNA from Hydractinia symbiolongicarpus, 1164 nucleotides. RefSeq lists it as uncharacterized. The transcript is spliced from 2 exons. Lineage: Eukaryota; Metazoa; Cnidaria; Hydrozoa; Anthoathecata; Hydractiniidae. The record is from RefSeq and is a predicted model, not a curated record.
GAAAAAUUAUUCCGCAAAAUUUUCCAUUUCAGCUAGCCGCAACAAUUAAAAAAAUUUUUAUUUCUUCAUACUUUGAUUUCUUUAGGAUCUAAGUUAUUGGGUUCUAUGUUGCUCAUUUGUAAAUGCCCUAACUUCUGAAUACUAUGUUAGACAAAAUACUGAUUUUGCCUCUGCUGAAAUAAUUGAACUUUAGGCACCCAAAAAUUAAUAUUGCACAUUUCGCAUAUAUUCUGCAAAUUAAAGCAUUUUUGUGUACCACUCACCCACAAAAAUAGGUUUCAGGAAAAUUUAUUGUGCAAAUAAUUUGUACCCUUGGCAAGUUUAGGCUCUUACAACAAGUUUGAAUGCAUAUUAAAAUUAAAAAAAAAAGUUAUCAAGGUAUUGCUUAUAGCCUGGAAAAGAUUUGAGGUAAGUGUUUAUACUUCUUAUGCUUCAUAUUUCCAAACUUUGUUAAAAAAUUCCUAAGUUUUGCUAAAAACAAUACUACACUCAGGUUUUUUACCCAAAAAUAAUUUAACAUAUCCGGCCUAUAUAUCCUGCAAUAUAGGAUUCCUGCUAAACCCACCUUUAUUUGUAGGUUAAAACACUAAUCCAGUGGUGAAGUAAUAAUAGACUAGAGUAAAUAUGGUAUUCUUGGUCACUGUUGAAUAUAACAUUUUAGGGAUGCUUGCUUUUAGGCAAGUUUAGGAACUUUCAAAAAAAUUAAAUAUUUAUAAAACUUCCAAAAUUUGUCUUUGAACACGCAGGUAUUCUUUUUGGAAAGACAGACAUCACAAAUACUUGGCGUUUCACAGUAUCACCUGAUUUUUUUAUCAAAACUUCAUAAAAUGGUCAGCCAUAAUCUAACACAGCCAUUAUCAGCAUUUCCAAAAAAAUGUUGACAGAGUAAACUGCAAACAUUAAAUUGUGAAAAAUGAAUCACUAAAACUAAUAUAUAUUUAUAUAAUUUAUUAUAGUCUUAUUUUGGUUAAUAGUAUUUACUUCACAUUAUUUUUAAGGGAAACUAGACGUCUAUGGUUCUUCUAUGAUUUUACAGAAUUUGUAUCAUGAAAAUUUUUAGAACUUUCUAGGUAGAUCCCAAGUUUUUAUACUUUUUAUAACUGUGUGUAAAUCUGUAUAUUUUUGUUAUUUAUUCAGGUGUAAUUAAAUUGAAGUAUAUCUAAA